UACGGGGGGGGCGAGCGUUGUUCGGAAUUACUGGGCGUAAAGGGUUUGUAGGUGGCCUGCUAAGUCAGACGUGAAAUCCCUCAGCUUAACUGGGGAACUGCGUCUGAGACUGGCGAGCUUGAGGACAGGAGAGGAACGCGGAAUUCCAGGUGUAGCGGUGAAAUGCGUAGAUAUCUGGAGGAACACCGGUGGCGAAGGCGGCGUUCUGGACUGUUUCUGACACUGAAAAACGAAAGCCAGGGGAGCAAACGGG
RNAcentral lists this ribosomal RNA (253 nucleotides) under uncultured bacterium. RNAcentral describes it as "partial 16S ribosomal RNA". It matches the Rfam family "Bacterial small subunit ribosomal RNA", at positions 524 to 776 of the family's 1533-position model. The record is from RNAcentral.